Long non-coding RNA from Rosa chinensis, 722 nucleotides. RefSeq lists it as uncharacterized. The record is from RefSeq and is a predicted model, not a curated record. NCBI's taxonomy places the organism in Eukaryota, Viridiplantae, Streptophyta, Magnoliopsida, Rosales, Rosaceae. The transcript has 3 exons.
UCCAUUCCUAUAUAGUACACAAACAUACACGGUUUUGAUCCUUGGGAUUCCGAGUCCAACCUCAACACUCCUUUGUCCUAAGCCAUGCUAAGCUAAAUUUUGUGGUCGCUUUUAUUUCUAGUAAAGCGCACAGUUCUGAAAUAGAAAGCUUUUGGAAGUGUGGUUGUCUCAAAUUUAUCAAGUUAUCAACAUUCAUGUUGCGAUUAGCACUUUCCUCAUCAUUGCUAACUUGGAAUUUUCAGAGUGAUUCAGAUAUUGUUCUGGGCUUCUGGCUGAUGACAAUUUUGCCACUAUUGUUGCGAGGGAAGGGCGAUUUACAAUAACACAAAGCAAUUCAUCAGACAUAUGAUCUCUUCAAAUAUUGGUGAAGUUGUUAGUAUAUUUGUGGCAGCUGUACAUGGAAUACCUGAUACACUGGCCCCUGUCCAACUGCUCUAGGUCAACUUAGUUACUGAUGGGUUGCCUGCCACAGCUAUUGGUUUUAAUAAGCAAGAUUCUGAUGUGAUGAAGGCUUGCCUUAACUAAUUAAGUAUUGUAUUUUCUCUCUCUUCCUCUUAUGUGUUUAUUUCACACUCGGCAUUCCUCUUAUAAAGGGAAUUAGAGCUCGAGUUUUUCAUGGACUUGAACUUUGAUUGGAAAGCAUUUAGAUAAAUUGAAGCUUGUUAUUUGUUUUGUUGGGUGUAUCUUUAUCCGAUGAUAUUGUUUAGUCACUGUUAGUUCUA